UACGGGGGGGGCAAGCGUUGUUCGGAAUUACUGGGCGUAAAGCGCGCGUAGGCGGCCCUGUAAGUCCGUUGUGAAAGUCAAAGGCUCAACCUUUGAAAGCCGAUGGAUACUGCAGGGCUAGAGUCCGGAAGAGGCGAGUGGAAUUCCUGGUGUAGCGGUGGAAUGCGCAGAUAUCAGGAGGAACACCAAUAGCGAAGGCAGCUCGCUGGGACGGUACUGACGCUAAGGCGCGAAAGCGUGGGGAGCGAACAGG
This 253-nucleotide ribosomal RNA is filed under the name uncultured bacterium. RNAcentral describes it as "partial 16S ribosomal RNA". It matches the Rfam family "Bacterial small subunit ribosomal RNA", at positions 524 to 776 of the family's 1533-position model. The record is from RNAcentral.